Long non-coding RNA from Papio anubis (olive baboon), 5058 nucleotides. NCBI's taxonomy places the organism in Eukaryota, Metazoa, Chordata, Mammalia, Primates, Cercopithecidae. The record is from Ensembl.
UGAGAAUGGCAGAGAAAGAAUGCCCCUGCCAUACACACUGCAACAAAAUUGUAGGACCUUGAACCUUGGGUUCGUAAUCUCACACCUGAGAAGGUUCCUCCACACUCUUGGAACUGUACACCCAUUAGAAUCCUUAAGUUAAAGCAAACCAAAGAAGUUUCUCCCCAGAAGGAGAUAGCAUCCUUGAUGUGAACAACUUUUCUCAAGAUCACAGAUCAAGACUUCUUUACUAUCAUGAGAUGUUUAUCUUUGAAUAGUUUUCCCUUGCUUAUGCCUCUGUGAACAAUAGAAGUGAAAGGGAGGGGGGUCUGUUGUGUGCACUUAUGGGGUAUACUUUUUAUUUGUGAGGGAUUUUGCAGACAGCCUUAUACAUGGAUAGCCUUCUAUCUCGAUAGAUGAAAGAUGAAGACCCAAGACCCAUGCCAUCGAAUGUCCUAACAGAACUUCUCAGAAUAAUCUGGCUUAAACUAUUUCGACACAACCUGCUUCAGAUUUAUGCGUACCUCUCGUUCACAGCUCACAUUACAAUUCAAAUAUUUUUAUGUACCUGGGAAGAGCAAGCAAUAUUUUAUGUACCUGGGAAGAGCAAGAGUUGACUGCAGAGGAGACCCCAUCAGGAUGUGUCGGAGAAAGAAGCCAGCCUCAGGCUUCCAAAGCCGGUAUUGCGGAAGGCCAGUCAGCAGGAAGGUGAAACUCCCCACCCGGGGCAGCCUCCUUCAACCUGGAGGUCUCUCUUAGCCCACGGGGGACCACAGGAUCUAACCUAGCAAAGGAGAUUUCAGUAUAAAAUUUCCCUUCCUGUUGGCCUGUCCUGAAAGAUUUCAAAAAGAUUCACAUAGAUGCUUAGGGAAUCUACGAACAAAAUCUCAGUGUCGUGUAGACAAAGACCUACUUCUCUAAGAGUGAAUGGUGUAAAAGAAGACCAAUAUGAGGAAUCGAAGCAAAUUACUUUCUUCAAAGCAGCAUCAGUGUAACUAACUCGUACUGAGAAAACUUUUUGAAGAAGUUUAUAUUCUCAAAGAUGUUUAAGAAAAUGUUACUUCAUUAAAAAAAAAAAAAACACAGGCAAUCAUAAAAUAGAAUAGGCAUUCACUCUUACCCUUCAUUAUGUUACAUGUAUGUAACGUAUAAUAUGUAUAAAUGCACACACAUACAUACACACAUCAAUAGGAGGCUUCUGUCUUUUGUACAGUCUGGAAUCAUUCAAAUAAACAUAGGCAUUAUCCAUUGUAAUAUAUUGAACUCAGCUGUAAAACCAUUUGAGCCUAUUUCCUUUUUUAAAAUACUAGCUCUGUAAUUAUCAUUUCAGUCCUUUCUGUGUCUGUCCUGGUUUUUUAACUCUUCCUGGAUCCUUUUCAGAAGUUAAUGUUUUAAUAGGAGCCCUUUUGUGCCCUCAAGAUCUUAAAAUAUAUUGCCACAUUGUUGCGCAUAAUAGUCUCUAAUAUUUCUUUAAAUCUCUUCCAUAUUUAUAUCUCCUUUCUUGUUACUAACAUGGCAUGAUGUUGCUUGCUUGCUUUUUAUUUCACCAGAAUCAGCAGAGAAAAAACUAUUUUAUUAGCCCUUUGAAGUAACAACUUUUGGUUUUAUUUAUCUCUUCAAACCCUUCCGUCAUUUUCUAGUGAAUCAAUAUAAACUUAUCUUCCCUAAUACCCACCUCUUGCUUUCCUUUGGUUUAUUUUGGAUUUUUUAAAAAUUUGUGAGAUAUAUGCUUUGUUCAUUAGCUUGGUGUCUUUAUUUUUAUUAAAGAUAAUGUCGUGUACAACUAUACAAUUUUCUAGGUAUUUUAGUCAUGACCCACAGAUUUUGCUAAUGAAAUAUUUUAUUUUUAUUAUUUUUGAGAAAACUUGUUGGCUGGGCAUGGUGGCUCACACCUGUAAUCCCAGCACUUUGGGAGGCCAAGGCGGGCGGAUCACAAGAUCAGGAGAUCCAGACCAUCCUGGCUAACACGAUAAAACCCCCCUCUACUAAAAAUCCAAAAAAAUUAGCUGGGCAUGGUGGAGGGCACCUGUAGUCCCAGCUACUUGGGAGGCUGAGGCAGGAGAAUGGCGUGAACCCAGGAGGCGGAGCUUGCCAUGAGCAGAGAUCGUGCCACUGUACUCCAGCCUGGGUGACAGAGUGAGACUCCAUCUCCAGAAACAAAAAACAAAAAAAAAGAAAACUUGUUUUUUUAGAUAUGAUCUGGUUAAUGGGUUAUUUGUGAGAGUGUUUUUUUAAUUUAUGCAAAAAUCGCUUUUGGUCCAUUUUGGUUUCAUUGUUCAUUUCUAGUUGCACUGAAUUAUGAUAAAAGAAUGUGGUCUAUAAACUUUGCACUUUGGGUAAAUUAUUAAAGUUUUCUUUUGGUCAAGUACAUCAUUGAACUUUUGUAAGUGUUCCAUAAGCAUAAGAAAAAAAUAACCUUUUCUUGUCAUAGAAAGACAUGUUGUCUCUAUCAGUGUGUUUCUGCAAGCGUGUGUGCACUGAAUAGCCGAAUUUUAAUUGUAUAUUACUUUAUAGCUUGUGUUGUUCAAACACUAGAUAAACCUACUUAUAUUUUGCUAUUUAAUUUGUCCAAUUUGAAAGGAGUACAUUAAAAUUUCCAUUUGCAAAUUUCCAAAUUUCCAUUUUGGAAAUUGGAAUUUCCGUUUUUCAUUUUGAAAUUUACUGUUUCCAAAAUGCAAUUAUAAGAAGAAAUAAUUGCAUAUUUAAAUAAAUCUCGCUUUGCCUUUUUAGUAGUUCUUCAGACAUUCUAAUAUUUAAUAAAUGGUGCUAGCAUGAUUUGCUGUCCAUUCUAGACAAAAGCAAAGCCAGGCUCAGCCCAUAUGCAGCAAUUAAUUGCACAUGGAUUAAAUAUGUCUAUGUAAAAUAAAAGCACUAGAAGAAGUUUCAGGAGAAUGUAGCUCUAGGGAUCUUUCCAAGCAAGCCUAUAGAAAUCAAGAAUCCAUAAAGACACUUUUUGCCACAUAAAAUUUUUAACUAUUUAUAUGGCAAAAAGUUGCAAAGUCAAAAGGCAAAUGUCAAUGGGUAUAAUGGCAAAGGUUUCCAGAAAAAUCCCCUUGUGAGCCUGGGCCCUUCCUUUAUAGCCCAUAUUGCAAUGAGACUUUCUCUCUUUCAUCACAUUAAAUUGUUAAGAAACAAUUUGAAUUGUUUCUUAAAUUAGUUGAAACCUGUAAGACUUAAAUAUACAGGCUUGUAUACUAGCAGUCCCCAGCCUUCUUGGCACCAGGGACUGGUUUCGUGGAAGUUAUUUUUUCCAUGAACUGGGGGUCGGUGGGGGGAUAGUUUGGGGAUAAUUCAAGCACAUUACAUUUAUUGUGCACUUUAUUUCUAUUAUUAUUACAUUGUAAUAUAUGAUAACAUAAUUAUACAACUCAUCAUAAAUGUAGAAUCAGUGGGAGGCCUGAACUUGUUUUCCUACAACUAGAUAGUCCCAUCUGGGAGUGAUGGGAGACAGUGACAGAUCAUCAGGCAUUAGAUUCUCAUAAGGGGCACACGACCUAGAUCCUUCGCAUGUGUAGUUCACAAUGGGGUUCGCCUCCUAUGAGAAUCUAAUGGCACCACUGAUGUGACAGGAGGCGGAGCUCAGGCAGUAAUGCCCACUUGUCCACCACUCACCUCCCACCGUGCAGCUUAGUACCUAACAGGCCACGGACCAGUACCAGUCCACAGCCUGGGGGUGGGGGAAUCCCUGUUGUAUACCUUGAUUAGCAACAAUCUGUAUUUAUGUAUACAUGUUGUGUUUGAAACUUAAGACAGUGGUUACCCUUUACCAGAUCAUUUCAAAGAACCAAUGGGUGACUUGGGCCUGGGCAGUCCUGCCUCUGAAGGCCCAGCAGUCUCUGAAGAAUUCCAUGCAGCUUCAAAGUAGAAAAGCUAACAAAAGUCAGGGUCCUUCAGCCCAUCUCAAGAGCUGAGAGGGAUGACCUAACACACACCAAGUUCCUGCUGAUGACUUUUGUACCAGCAGAGGACUACGGGAGUAAUUGGUAAGAGGGGGAAAAAUAUCCAUUCCUUAGAACAUACAGACUCUGAGAAACACAAUCAAGGCCCUUAAAAGUUGCUUGAUACAACUCUUAAAAUAUGCUGGAUCAGAUAGAUUGUGGUGGAAUUUUAACAAACUUUGAAAAACAGAUUACAUCUCUGCUAUAUAAAUUGUGGUAGAGGAGGGUGGGGGAAAUCCCAUUUUAGGAAGCUAGCAUGACUCUGAGACAAAAAUCUAGUAAAAAGCACAAAAUAUGAAACUAGUAACCUGCCUAGUUUCCAAUAUGGCGUCAGCAUGGUGAGAAGUUGUAACACUUUACUCUGCGUAGAGUUAGGGAUCCUCUCCUUUCCGCCCCGUAUGACUAGGAAUAAGAAAGAUGGCAUUGAAGCCUGCUGUUUUUUGUACUCAGACUCGUGAGUCUAGUUUCUACAUAUAAAAGUCACUCACAGGAAAAAAUAGAAUCUGUUCUUAGACAUUGGAAAUAGACAGUGAGUCUUCAAUCAAACUAACAGAACUAGUAAAAUCCUGACAAUUCAAAUGACAGACAAAUGGUGAAUCUCCCAAAAUCAAAAAAGGGCCUAUAGAUCAGAAAGGAAAGGACAAGGUAACAGAAACAUGUGCCAAGUCUAUAACAAGCAAGCUACAGAAUAGAAAACUACAAAUGACCAAUAGGUGUAUUAAAAGAUGCUCACAUUACUAGUGAUCAAGAAAACACAAAUAAAGCAACAAGAUGUUCCCAUUUUUCCCCCUCAAAACUGGCAUAAAUUAAAUAAGCUAUGAGAUCUAGUGCUGCAGAAAAUUUGAAUGGGCACUCUUGUACAUUGUUGGUAUGAGUAUAAAUUAGUACAACAUCCUUGCAAAAUGUUCUGGCAAUAUCCACUGAACAUUAGAAUAUAUAGAUGUUUGUCCCCACAAUCUCACACUGAGGGAUCUAAUCUAUAAAAAUAAAAGCACCAGUGAGAUUAGAGUUACAGUGUCAUUAAUUACAGCAUCAUUUUUUUACAUACAUCUUGGAAACAACCUGAGUGUCAUUAAUUAGGGGACUGCUUAAAUCAAGCAUGAUUCAAUUGUAUUGGGGAAUACUAUUCAGGCAUUAAAAA